RNAcentral lists this unclassified non-coding RNA (332 nucleotides) under soil metagenome. RNAcentral's name for it is "partial contains 5.8S ribosomal RNA, internal transcribed spacer 2, and large subunit ribosomal RNA". The stretch from base 1 to 120 matches the Rfam family "5.8S ribosomal RNA", at positions 35 to 154 of the family's 154-position model. The record is from RNAcentral.
GAUGAAGAACGCAGCGAAAUGCGAUAAGUAGUGUGAAUUGCAGAAUUCAGUGAAUCAUCGAAUCUUUGAACGCACAUUGCGCCCUUUGGUAUUCCUUAGGGCAUGUCUGUUCGAGCGUCAUUUAAACCUUCAAGCUAAGCUUGGUGUUGGGUGACUGUCCGCUUCACGGCGGACUCGCCUCAAAAUUAUUGGCGGCCGGUACAUUGGCUUCGAGCGCAGCAGAAACGCGAACUCGGGCCCGUCGUAUUGGCUCCCAGAAGCUAUCUUCACAAUUUUGACCUCGGAUCAGGUAGGGAUACCCGCUGAACUUAAGCAUAUCAAUAAGCGGAGGA